RNAcentral lists this transfer RNA (72 nucleotides) under Candidatus Zhuqueibacterota bacterium. RNAcentral's name for it is "candidate division KSB1 bacterium (freshwater sediment metagenome) tRNA-Glu". It matches the Rfam family "tRNA". Rfam says of the family: Transfer RNA (tRNA) molecules are approximately 80 nucleotides in length. Their secondary structure includes four short double-helical elements and three loops (D, anti-codon, and T loops). Lineage: Bacteria; Pseudomonadati. The record is from RNAcentral.
GUCCCCAUCGUCUAGUGGUCAGGACCCAGGAUUUUCAAUCCUGUAACGGGGGUUCAACUCCCCCUGGGGAUG